CACGUAGGGGGCAAGCGUUGUCCGGAUUUAUUGGGCGUAAAGAGCUCGUAGGCGGCUCAGUAAGUCGGGUGUGAAACCUCCAGGCUCAACCUGGAGACGCCACCCGAUACUGCUGUGGCUAGAGUCCGGUAGGGGAGCGUGGAAUUCCUGGUGUAGCGGUGAAAUGCGCAGAUAUCAGGAAGAACACCCGUGGCGAAAGCGGCUCUCUGGGACGGUACUGACGCUGAGACGCGAAAGCGUGGGGAGCGAACAGG
This 254-nucleotide ribosomal RNA is filed under the name uncultured bacterium. RNAcentral describes it as "partial 16S ribosomal RNA". It matches the Rfam family "Bacterial small subunit ribosomal RNA", at positions 524 to 776 of the family's 1533-position model. The record is from RNAcentral.